This 68-nucleotide transfer RNA is filed under the name Numidum massiliense. It matches the Rfam family "tRNA". From Rfam's summary of the family: Transfer RNA (tRNA) molecules are approximately 80 nucleotides in length. Lineage: Bacteria; Bacillati; Bacillota; Bacilli; Caryophanales; Bacillaceae. The record is from RNAcentral.
CGGAUGUAGUUCAAUGGUAGAACGCUAGCUUCCCAAGCUCGUAAUGCGGGUUCGAUUCCCGUCAUCCG